RNAcentral lists this ribosomal RNA (512 nucleotides) under uncultured beta proteobacterium. Its description in RNAcentral is "bacterial SSU rRNA". It matches the Rfam family "Bacterial small subunit ribosomal RNA", at positions 8 to 523 of the family's 1533-position model. The record is from RNAcentral. Lineage: Bacteria; Pseudomonadati; Pseudomonadota; Betaproteobacteria.
AGAGUUUGAUCAUGGCUCAGAUUGAACGCUGGCGGAAUGCUUUACACAUGCAAGUCGACGGCAGCACGGGGGCAACCCUGGUGGCGAGUGGCGAACGGGUGAGUAAUACAUCGGAAGUGCCCAGUCGUGGGGGAUAACGCAGCGAAAGUUGCGCUAAUACCGCAUACGAUCUCAGAUGAAAGCGGGGGACCGUAAGGCCUCGCGCGAUUGGAGCGGCCGAUGUCAGAUUAGGUAUUGGUGGGGUAAAGGCCCACCAAGCCUGCGAUCUGUAGCUGGUCUGAGAGGACGACCAGCACACUGGGACUGAGACACGGCCCAGACUCCUACGGGAGGCAGCAGUGGGGAAUUUUGGCAAUGGGCGAAAGCCUGAUCCAGCCAUGCCGCGUGCGGGAAGAAGGCCUUCGGGUUGUAACCGCUUUUGUCAGGGAAGAAACGCUCUGGGCUAAUACCCUGGGGUAAUGACGGUACCUAAGAAUAAGCACCGGCUAACUACGUGCCAGCAGCCGCGGUAA